RNAcentral lists this transfer RNA (72 nucleotides) under Sphaerobolus stellatus SS14. RNAcentral's name for it is "tRNA-His (GTG) (tRNA-His-GTG-1 1 to 4)". It matches the Rfam family "tRNA". From Rfam's summary of the family: Transfer RNA (tRNA) molecules are approximately 80 nucleotides in length. The record is from RNAcentral. Lineage: Eukaryota; Fungi; Basidiomycota; Agaricomycetes; Geastrales; Sphaerobolaceae.
GUGCCCAUAGAUUAGUGGUUAGAUCAGUUCGUUGUGGCCGAACAGACCCGCGUUCGAAUCGCGGUGGGCACA